UACAUGCUCUUUAGAUCAGAAGGUCC
RNAcentral lists this non-coding RNA (26 nucleotides) under Homo sapiens (human). Lineage: Eukaryota; Metazoa; Chordata; Mammalia; Primates; Hominidae. The record is from RNAcentral.